UUUCUCAACUUCUCUUCUUGGUUGAAGACUUCCGCAACGAAUCCAUUUAUAUUUAUCUAACUUUUCCUAUUUCAUUUUCUUAUCAUUGAUAAAAAUCCUACUUGUAAUUACUACUGCAAAUAUUAUAUCUACGAAUAAAUCAUUCAUAAAUGAGAUAGUGACAAACAGAGAGAGAGAGAGAAAGAGAGAGAAAGCUUGUUGCGUUCAUCACAAUGGCCGCGCGCAACGAGGAUCUUACGUCGGUUAUCAAGCUUCGUGCGAGGCUCUGAAUAAUAUAUCCAAGCUGCUGCAGCAGCGACGUCGUUCUGCGACACUCUCUGCGCUCUAUCUCAGUGUCAUUAUAUCGUAUUAACAAAACGAAACUGGUAUUUCGAAAUCGUUAAGGAAAUCGUUUCUCUCUUAUUUCGUUCGGAGAACAAAACUCGACUCGAUUUUUCGUCCUCGAGACCAUCGCGUUUUUUUUUAUGUAUUAUAUUCAAACGCAAACAAAAACAAAGCGUUGCCAUUCGUGACGUUUAUACCAAUCGAGACUGGCAUAAACAAAUUAACUUUCGAUCUAACGCUAUCUAAAUUCCCUUUGGCUUUAUUAUGUCAAAAUUUAUUAUAACGUGCUCCAUCGAAGAUGCAACGAAUUUUCAUCGAUAAUCAGAGAAUCACUCUCCCCGUCGACAUCGUUAAAGAGAAUACAAAGUUCGACUUUCCAAGUGUCAUUGCUUGAACGAGAAAGGUAGACGAUAAAAAUAAGUGGACUUAGGGUAAACCAAAACAUGCCUAUCUUUGGUUGUACGAAAGAGGACAAUUGUAGAAGGAACGCCUUUCUAAGGGCGAGAGAACGUGCGAAUCGUGAAAAAGAAAAGAAGAAAUUGGAAAAUUUGAACAACCCGAAUCAAACGUCCGAACUUUCGAAAGUCGAAAACAUUGAUAAAGAAGAUAUCGUGGAACAAAACGAUAAGUUAAAUCCGAAAGAAGAGAAAGAAACGUCAGAAUCGGAAAGAGGGAUCGACGAUUUGGAAGAAUUAUCUUCUUCCGUUAGAAAUCAAGCCUUUAUAGAGCAAAUGCAGGAGGAAUCUUAAAAAAAAAAAAAGAAAAAAAA
This is a long non-coding RNA of Vespula pensylvanica (western yellowjacket), 1093 nucleotides long. RefSeq lists it as uncharacterized. The transcript is spliced from 3 exons. Lineage: Eukaryota; Metazoa; Arthropoda; Insecta; Hymenoptera; Vespidae. The record is from RefSeq and is a predicted model, not a curated record.